This 305-nucleotide ribosomal RNA is filed under the name uncultured bacterium. RNAcentral's name for it is "bacterial SSU rRNA". It matches the Rfam family "Bacterial small subunit ribosomal RNA", at positions 335 to 657 of the family's 1533-position model. The record is from RNAcentral.
ACUCCUACGGGGGGCAGCAGUGGGGAAUAUUGCACAAUGGGGGGAACCCUGAUGCAGCGACGCCGCGUGAGCGAAGAAGUAUUUCGGUAUGUAAAGCUCUAUCAGCAGGGAAGAAAAUGACGGUACCUGACUAAGAAGCCCCGGCUAACUACGUGCCAGCAGCCGCGGUAAUACGUAGGGGGCAAGCGUUAUCCGGAUUUACUGGGUGUAAAGGGAGCGCAGGCGGCGCGGUAAGUCUGAUGUGAAAGCCCGGGGCCCAACCCCCGGACUGCUCUGGAAACUGUAUGGCUGGAGUGCAGGAGAGG